CGUGAAAUGAGCCCUAUUCCUCCUUUCCAAUGGCCAAUUCACCACUUCACUUACUUACUACUUACUUACUUAAUACCGGCUUGAACAAGGAAAAUAGCACUAGAAAGAAAAGCAAAUAAAGAGAGUACAAGACAGAACUAAAUAGGUGUAGAGUUCGGAGUAGCGAAGAGGCUUUGAUGACGAAGCGAAGGUACGAAGUAGAUUUCUCAUGGCCCCCCCAAUGAAUAAUUUUUAUGCUAUACGAGCAUAAACAAUAACCAUUUAGAAUACCUGCAGGGAGAGGGAAUUCUAUUGUACUCUCCCGGAGGGAGAGGGAGAACUGGUUUGAAUAAUUUUCCACGUAGGGAAGCAUAAAAGGAAAGCGGUCCCUUACCUUGUGACAACAAUUUCCUUCCCGUAAUCGAACCCUCCACAGAAAGCAGCUCGCACUCGGUAAUAAGACUUGAACAUGAAUUCUUUCCCAUCGACUGGACUUUUCACAGAGACCAGGAACAAGGACCAGGACGAAUAGGGAACGGGAACUACUCUUUUCGUUUCGGGAUUUGAGUAGGUAAGGGCAGCGGGACCAGCAACAUGAACAAUCGGACCAAGCAGGCUAUUAAGCCAACUAACAAAGCCACAAGCUACAGGCAGGAGCUCCUUUCUUCAAUAAAGGUUUGGUAACCUCGUUUUGCCCUUUCUUUCACGGCUCGGCCCUCCUCGCCAGGAGGAAAUUCAUGGCCGUAGAUCAAGGC
Molecule: unclassified non-coding RNA, 734 nt
Filed under: Hevea brasiliensis (rubber tree)
Lineage: Eukaryota; Viridiplantae; Streptophyta; Magnoliopsida; Malpighiales; Euphorbiaceae
Source: RNAcentral